Molecule: ribosomal RNA, 468 nt
Filed under: uncultured bacterium
Lineage: Bacteria
Description: partial 16S ribosomal RNA
Rfam family: Bacterial small subunit ribosomal RNA
Source: RNAcentral
GACGAACGCUGGCGGCGUGCUUAACACAUGCAAGUCGAACGGAAAGGCCCUGCUUGUGUGCUGUGCUGGAGUGGCGAACGGGUGAGUAACACGUGAGUAACCUGCCCUUGUCUUUGGUGUGAGUUCAGGAAACUGGGGCUACUACCGUAUAGGAUCUCCUGCUGCGUGGUGGGCGUUGGAAAGUCUCGGCGGUUGGGGAUGGAUGGGCGGCUUAUCAGCUUGUUGGUGGGGUAGUGGCUUACCAAGGCAUUGACGGGUAGCCGGCCUGAGAGGGUGACCGGCGUCAUUGGGACUACGAGACGGCGCAGACGCCAAUGGUAGGCAGCAGGGGGAAAUAUGGUACAAUGGGCGCAAGCCUGAGGAAGCAACGCCGGGUUUGUGAAGACGGUUUGCGGGGAGAAAACAGCUUUAGCUUGUGACGAAGCGGUAGUGACGGUAAUGGGUAAAGAAGCACCGGCUAACUACGUG